CUAGCCUCCACACAUCAUAUUUUUGGCCCCCUCUCUCUAUAGGGAAGUCGAAAAUUGUCUUUUGUGUGUUCUUGGCGUUCUUGUCUUCUUCUUCGAGAUCCCUACAUUUCUAAGAGAUUCCUCCCACAAGGAAUUUAGAUCUAGAGUUGGGUCAUAGGUUAAAAGAUCCUUGGUCUUGCAAUCACAUUGAAGUAUCAAGAUCUACACAUGGAGAAGUAGCGAGCCACUUUGAUUCUUUGGAGAAUCAUUAUUUCCCUCGAGGACGAGUUCAUAUGCAGCGAUCUUGACAAACUGACGACUUGAUCAAGUAUAUGCGGAGAGAAGAAACAUAAGCUGCUGGCAAAUGGAUUGACCUCGACCUCGGGUAUGAUUGUUGGAAGUUUAUUCGGUCUAAUGCAUCUAUGUAAAUAUGUGUUUUUAAGUCUUUCUUUUUUCCUUUCUUUCUUGAGAUGAGUAAACCGUGCUUGAAACUUGCCUUAUCUUUUUCUUUUCUUGUCUUUUAUACUUGAGGACAAGUAUGUUUUAAGUGUGAGCAGUUUGAUAAGGCUCAUUUCAUGCAUCGGUUUAAAGGGUAAAAAGUACGCCACUUGAUCUGUUUAUUGCGCAAAACAAGUGUUAAAAGUGCAGGAAUGCAGCUUGACCAAGACAUCAAGGCUAAACUGAUCAAGUCGGCACAAAGGACGCAAAAGGCCAAGAAAUCAGGGAGAUUGAUCAAGGGGAGUGAUCAAGCAGUUAGGCGGGGACCAUUGGCAAAGAGAAGAAGACACGUGCCGAUACAAAGGACACCAUCCUGCUAUGAAGGGACCACUGUCUUCUAGAAGGAGGAAUACGUGUCGACCAAAGAGACGCGCGGUCCUAGAAGAAAGCGAAUAUUCGCCGACAAGGUUGUUAUCCCUGCUGGAGGAUAGCUCUUAGUUUUAGCUUAGUUUAGUUAACUUUCGUUCCAGUUCUUCGCUAGCUUAUUCGACCAAAGGUUGCCUAUAAAUAGAGGCUGCGACACCACAAUAGAGAGGACUUUAUCCGCU
Salvia splendens (bonfire salvia) is the source of this 1025-nucleotide long non-coding RNA. RefSeq lists it as uncharacterized. The record is from RefSeq and is a predicted model, not a curated record. NCBI's taxonomy places the organism in Eukaryota, Viridiplantae, Streptophyta, Magnoliopsida, Lamiales, Lamiaceae. The transcript is spliced from 2 exons.